Molecule: long non-coding RNA, 226 nt
Organism: Gossypium arboreum
Lineage: Eukaryota; Viridiplantae; Streptophyta; Magnoliopsida; Malvales; Malvaceae
Exons: 3
Source: RefSeq, a predicted model, not a curated record
AAGGAAGGAAGAGAGAGUAUUCAUUUCUUUCUUUUCUUGCAAUUGCCGUGAGUUAAGAGAAGGAAAGAAGAAAUGCUCUAGACAUUCGGCCAACUCAAAAGGGGUUGAUUAAGCUCAAGAAGUUAAAGGAGGAGAAUCAAGCAAAGGCAAAGGAAAGAACAUCGAGUAGCCGAGUUGGAACCGUUUUACCCAACACAAGGUUCCUUUGAUCCAUUUUUGUGUGCUC